RNAcentral lists this ribosomal RNA (434 nucleotides) under uncultured Clostridium sp. Its description in RNAcentral is "partial 16S ribosomal RNA". It matches the Rfam family "Bacterial small subunit ribosomal RNA", at positions 341 to 792 of the family's 1533-position model. Lineage: Bacteria; Bacillati; Bacillota; Clostridia; Eubacteriales; Clostridiaceae. The record is from RNAcentral.
ACGGAAGGCAGCAGUGGGGAAUAUUGCACAAUGGGCGAAAGCCUGAUGCAGCGACGCCGCGUGAGUGAAGAAGUAUCUCGGUAUGUAAAGCUCUAUCAGCAGGGAAGAAAAUGACGGUACCUGACUAAGAAGCCCCGGCUAACUACGUGCCAGCAGCCGCGGUAAUACGUAGGGGGCAAGCGUUAUCCGGAUUUACUGGGUGUAAAGGGAGCGUAGACGGUUUGGCAAGUCUGAAGUGAAAUGCGGGGGCACAACUCCUGAACUGCUUUGGAAACUGUCGAACUAGAGUGCAGGAGAGGUAAGUGGAAUUCCUAGUGUAGCGGUGAAAUGCGUAGAUAUUAGGAGGAACACCAGUGGCGAAGGCGGCUUACUGGACUGUAACUGACGUUGAGGCUCGAAAGCGUGGGGAGCAAACAGGAUUAGAUACCCUGGUA